RNAcentral lists this long non-coding RNA (250 nucleotides) under Cricetulus griseus (Chinese hamster). Its description in RNAcentral is "lncRNA (ENSCGRG00000025811.1)". The record is from RNAcentral. Lineage: Eukaryota; Metazoa; Chordata; Mammalia; Rodentia; Cricetidae.
GACCGGGUUUUUCCUCUUCUGGUGUUUUAGGAAAUUGUGUAAAGCACCAUUAAUUAUCUUAGAUGUUUUUAAAAGGGUGUCUCUUGUGGGGCGUGGUGGUGCACACCUUUACUCCCCACCACUAGGGAGGCAGAGGCAGGCAGAAGGCCAGCCUGGUCUACAAGUAACUUCUCUGCAUCUGGAAAAGAACCCACAAACGCCAGCCCAGAAGCCGGGCUGGAAGACAACGCUGUAGUGGGGUCUGCGAGCG